AAAAUAUUAAAUAUUACGAUUUAACGGUCGUUACUCGUUUCUUAUUACUGAUAUCUCAUACUCUCAUUCCUGCAUAUUAAUUAUUAACUGUUUCGUCUCAUUUUACUUAUUACUUAUUAUUUUUCAAAUGUCAAUUAGUUUAUGAACAAAACCAAUAAUGAAGAGAGUUGGGAACCAACCAGCAAAAAUUCAGAAAAAGUACCGAGCAGAAGAUGACGCUAAAGAUCCUAUUCAAGUUUAUUGUCGAAUUCGCCCCGUCCAGUCUAAUUUAGAAUCAUCAUGUAUCAAAGUUGUAUCCGACACUGAAAUACAAAUAUAUUGCUCGCCAGAUGAGAGAGGAAUAUCUAGGGAAGGACAAUUCAGUUACAAGAAAAUAUUCACUGAAUAUGAGACCCAAGAAGUGGUCUUUCAAGACUUGGGAUUGCCACUAAUUGAACAACUUUUAACUGGAAAAAGUAGUCUAAUAUUUGCAUAUGGAAUAUCAGGUAGUGGCAAAUCGUAUACAAUGACUGGUAAUCAGGAAGAUGGCGGUAUUGUUGGAAGAUGCUUUGAUGUAAUAUUCAAUUCUAUUCAAAAUUACCAAGCUAGAAGGUUUACUUUUAAACCUGACAAGCUUAAUGGAUUUGAUGUAUAUAGUAUGGAAGAUGCCUUGUUUUUUAAAUCUGAGGAUUUCAAAAAUAAUGUUAAAAACCCUUCUAAAACAUCAAAAAAGAAAGAUGGAGAUACAGAUCGUAUACCAUUUAAUUAUAAAAUUAUGGAUAUAGAACAAGAUGUAGCAUAUUCAGUCUUUAUAAGCUAUGUAGAAAUAUAUCAUAAUUACGUGUAUGAUCUUUUAGAAGAUGUAUCUGAUGGAGAAAUAAGACGCAACAGUAAAAUAAUAAGGGAAGAUUCUAAUGGAAAUAUGUAUGUGCAUGGAGUAAAUGAACAAGAAGUAUUUAACGCAGAUGAAGCUUUUGAAUGGUUGAGAAAAGGUCAGUUAAGAAAGCGUACUGCACCAACAUUUUUGAACAUGGAUUCCAGUCGUAGUCAUACAGUUUUUACUAUAAGAGUUGUGCAAGCACCUUUGGAUACUGAUGGUGUAAGUAUAAUUCAAGAUAAGAAAUAUACUGUUGUGAGUCAGCUGUCACUAGUAGAUUUAGCUGGUAGUGAACGAGCUGGGAAAGCAAAGACCACUGGACAAAGACUUCAAGAAGCUGGAGAAAUAAAUAAGUCACUGUCAAAUUUAAAACAAUGUCUUAAGAUAUUAUAUGAAAAUCAAUCUUCUAGCAAUUUAAGAAAUAUUGCUGAAAAAAUACCGUAUAGAACAUCACGUCUUACCCAUCUGUUCAAAAGUUUCUUUGAAGGUUCUGGUUCGAUCAGAAUGCUAAUUUGUGUUAACCCUAUGUCUGAAUAUACAGAGCUUUUGCCUGUACUUCAAUUCGGUGAAAUGUCUGGAAGUGUUCAAGUAAAAAGAACAACUCCAUUGCGUAUGGAUAUAGGUUUAACUCCAGGAAGAAGAAAAGUUAUUGAUAUUCAAUCUUUAAAUCGCAUUCCAUGUGUAAUUGAGGAAGGUACUAAAUUUCCACAAGACAAUAAAAUAAAUUAUGAAUCAAAAGAAAACUGUUUUGGAAGUUAUUUAAAUUUGGGGCCUCCUUUGCCGGAUUUAGAAGUAGAUGAUUUAUUAGAUGACGAGAAGAGACAGCAAUUAAUUACUGCUCUUGAUCAAAGAAUAAAAAAAAAGGAAGAACUUCGUGAAUUGUUGAUUACUCAGAGUAAUGACAUACGAUCACAAAUAGUAGUUUUAGAAAGCAAUUUUGCGGGUGCUAAACAAGAAAUAAAUUCAUUGCAAAUUCUGAGAGACCAAGAUACUAAUAAAGUUAAGCAAUAUCAAAACAAAUCAUUUUUAUUAGAAAAUGAAUUGGCCUCGUUAAAAAGAAAAUUAGAGUUUAUGGAUAAUGAAAAUAAAAGAUUAAAAUCAGAUUUAAAUGCAAAAGACAACAUGUUAAAUCAAGUUUCAGUAGAUAAAGAUCUGUUAAAACAAAAAUACAAUACAAAAAUUGUUAAAAAACAAGAACAGUUAUCUAGAGAAUUCAAAGAUAAAUGGAAAGUUCAAGAAAAUGAGUUUGAGGCAAAAUUACAAGAUAAAAAACGCAAAUUAAGACAUAUCAAAAAUAUUGUGGAAAGCACAGAAAAUAUUCCUGGCCAUUUCUCCAGGCGUAUUGUAAAAAGAACUCUGUCUGACGAAAGCUUAAACAAAAUAGAACCAGUUGUGAAUAAUGGUAAACCCUCAGAGUCAAAACAAAACGAGCCAUCACAAGCAACACUAAGAUAUUUACGUUCAAGACGAUCUAAAUCGUGUGACCCUCAUGAACGUUGGAUCGAACACAAACCACCAGUGCCUAUUCCUUUACAAACUGUUAUGCAACCUAAAUUAAAGAAGCGCAAAUCCAUUACCAAAUUAACAGAUGCCAAAACAGUAUCGAAUAAUGGCGCAUCAAAAUAUUGUUUAUUGACACAAGGAUCGGAUGAACAAGGCAUUCCAGAAGCUAAACUAUAUAAAGCUGAUAUUAUACAAACCAUGGGUGGAGGUGCGCAGGUUGUGUUCAAUGAUGUCGAAACGCUAAAACAGGAUUCACCACUAGGUGGAUCUCCUGUGAAAAACCGUAUCCAGGCUUACAAUAAUGAAGUUAAGGCUCAUAGAGGUAGUUCCGAAGAUAUACAAUCAAAAUGUUAUGGAAUACAAGGAGGCUAUACUCCAACAUCUAGAAAAUGAUAUAUUAAAAUAUAAACGUUAUCCAUUUUACAUUUAAGGAGAAUUGGCUAACAACAGAAAAAGAGAUCAAUCUAACUUUAUUUGACAGUGUAAACAAUCGGUUCAAUAAAAAAUAGCAUCUCAAUCACAACUGCUUCAAUGCUAUGUCAAUAUGAGUGUAGUCUGCUUUUUUACAAUUGAAUGUUAACCUUUUCCACUACAAAAUCAAUUGUUUUUAUUUAUUUUUUUUACAUUUUUGUACUAUAAGUUUUUUUUUUUUUUUGAUAUAUAAUUUUAUAAUUAUUAUUUAUAACUAAAUUUUGCUUGCAGAAAUGUAGUGACAAGAUUAUUUUC
Molecule: unclassified non-coding RNA, 3085 nt
Filed under: Rhopalosiphum maidis (corn leaf aphid)
Lineage: Eukaryota; Metazoa; Arthropoda; Insecta; Hemiptera; Aphididae
Description: kinesin-like protein KIF23, transcript variant X3
Source: RNAcentral